This 81-nucleotide transfer RNA is filed under the name Ostreobium quekettii. Its description in RNAcentral is "tRNA-Leu". It matches the Rfam family "tRNA". Rfam says of the family: Transfer RNA (tRNA) molecules are approximately 80 nucleotides in length. Their secondary structure includes four short double-helical elements and three loops (D, anti-codon, and T loops). The record is from RNAcentral. Lineage: Eukaryota; Viridiplantae; Chlorophyta; Ulvophyceae; Bryopsidales; Ostreobiaceae.
GCCUUGGUGGUGGAAUGGUAGACACAGUUGAUUCAAAAUUAACUGCCUUUCGGCGUGGAGGUUCAAGUCCUCUUCAAGGCA